UGACCUUCAGAAGGAAAUUCCUGUCUGGGCUCUGUCUUGAGGCAGGGCUCAGUUGCUCUUUGCUCUGAGCCUCAGUUACUCCAUCUGAGCAAGAGGACUGAUGUUCAAUGUGGCUGAUGUCACAAUUAACCGAUGCAACAUUCCUAGAAGCCCCCUGGCUCUGAGGGAAGGAUCAAUAACAGAUGAAGAAAUGGAGACUUCAUCCACUUGCCUAAGCCCCUGAGGUAACCUUGGCCAAGAUCCUGUCUUCCAGGGCCCCUGCAGAUCCCAGCAUGAAGCCCCCAAAUGUGCCUGCCUGUCUUUAGGCUCCUGCCAACUACUGCUGCCUUCCUCCUGCCCGCCGCCAGCCGAGUGGUGAGACUUGCAAGCUAUUUUAUUCCAGACUUCCCCAUCUUCUUCACAUAACUUCCUGAGCCUGCAAUGCCUCCCCACUUCCUUCUUCGUCCAGCUGGGCUAUUUAGUCACCAAGGCCUUGGUUAUGCCUGCUUGCACUUACAGGAAGACUUCUCCCAACCCCCACCCCUGUCCCCUACCCCUGUCCCAUGCCUGUGGGCCCCACUGAGAAAUGUUUCUCAGCACUUCCAAAGGGGUUCUGGGUGCUCUAGUGGAAGGGUGAGCGGGUGGGG
Long non-coding RNA from Lemur catta (Ring-tailed lemur), 626 nucleotides. RefSeq lists it as uncharacterized. Lineage: Eukaryota; Metazoa; Chordata; Mammalia; Primates; Lemuridae. The record is from RefSeq and is a predicted model, not a curated record. The transcript has 3 exons.